This 72-nucleotide transfer RNA is filed under the name Camelus bactrianus (Bactrian camel). It matches the Rfam family "tRNA". From Rfam's summary of the family: Transfer RNA (tRNA) molecules are approximately 80 nucleotides in length. Their secondary structure includes four short double-helical elements and three loops (D, anti-codon, and T loops). Further hydrogen bonds mediate the characteristic L-shaped molecular structure. tRNAs have two regions of fundamental functional importance: the anti-codon, which is responsible for specific mRNA codon recognition, and the 3' end, to which the tRNAs corresponding amino acid is attached (by aminoacyl-tRNA synthetases). tRNAs cope with the degeneracy of the genetic code in two manners: having more than one tRNA (with a specific anti-codon) for a particular amino acid; and 'wobble' base-pairing, i.e. permitting non-standard base-pairing at the 3rd anti-codon position. The record is from Rfam by way of RNAcentral. RNAcentral also lists the same sequence under 3 other names. Lineage: Eukaryota; Metazoa; Chordata; Mammalia; Artiodactyla; Camelidae.
AAGUGUAUAGCUCAGUGGUAGAGUGCCUGCUUACCAUGCAUGAGUUCCUGGGUUCAAUCCCCAGUACCUCUU